GGAUUAGAGUUUGAUCCUGGCUCAGGAUGAACGCUGGCGGCGGUCCUUAAUCCAUGCAAGUCGAACGGGAACCUUGGGAAACUGAGGGGAGAAUUGCCGACGGGUGAGUGACACGUAGCUGACCUGCCCUCGAGAGGGGGACAACGCCUGGAAACGGGCGCUAAUACCCCAUACGCUCGUGGCGAUUAGACAGGCCACGAGGAAAGUGGUGACAUGCUCGAGGAGGGGGCUGCGGCCCAUCAGCUGGUUGGUGAGGUAACGGCUCACCAAGGCGAUAACGGGGAGGGGGCCUGAGAGGGUGACCCCCCACACGGGAACUGAGAGACGGUCCCGACUCCUACGGGAGGCAGCAGUAAGGGAUAUUGCGACAAUGGGCGAAAGCCUGACGCAGCAACGCCGCGUGUGGGAUGACGGCCUUCGGGUUGUAAACCACUUUUCGGGGGGAAGAGGAAGGACGGUACCCCCGGAAGAAGUCUCGGCUAACUACGUGCCAGCAGCCGCGGUAAAACGUAGGAGGCAAGCGUUAUCCGGAUUUACUGGGUGUAAAGCGCGUGCAGGCGGACUUUCAAGUCGCGUGUGAAAGCGCCCGGCUCAACCGGGCGAGGCCGCGCGAAACUGAAAGACUGGAGGCCGGUAGAGGCGUGUGGAAUUCCGGGUGUAGUGGUGAAAUGCGUAGAGAUCCGGAGGAACACCAGUGGCGAAGGCGACACGCUGGACCGAGCCUGACGCUCAGACGCGACAGCAUGGGGAGCGAACGGGAUUAGAAACCCCGGUAGUCCAUGCCGUAAACGAUGCGAACUAGGUGUGGCGGGUAACCAUUCCGGCUGUGCCGCAGCUAACGCGCUAAGUUCGCCACCUGGGGACUACGGCCGCAAGGUUAAAACUUAAAGGAAUUGACGG
Molecule: ribosomal RNA, 900 nt
Filed under: uncultured bacterium
Lineage: Bacteria
Description: bacterial SSU rRNA
Rfam family: Bacterial small subunit ribosomal RNA
Source: RNAcentral